AACGAACGCUGGCGGCAUGCCUAACACAUGCAAGUCGAACGAGACCUUCGUGUCUAUUGGCGCACGGGUGCUUAACGCGUGGUAACCUGCCCUUAGGUUCGGAAUAACUCCCCGAAAGGUGUGCUAAUACCGGUUAAUGUCUUCUGACCAAAGAUUUAUCGCCUUUGGAUGGGCCCGCGUUGGAUUAGCUAGUUGGUAGGGUAAAAGCCUACCAAGGCGACGAUCCAUAGCUGGUCUGAGAGGAUGAUCAGCCACACUGGGACUGAGACACGGCCCAGACUCCGACGGGAGGCAGCAGUGGGGAAUAUUGGACAAUGGGCGAAAGCGUGAUCCAGCAAUGCCGGGUGAGUGAUGAAGGCCUUAGGGUUGUAAAGCUCUUUUACACGGGAUGAUAAUGACAGUAACGGGAGAAUAAGCACCGGCUAACUACGUG
This 433-nucleotide ribosomal RNA is filed under the name uncultured bacterium. RNAcentral's name for it is "partial 16S ribosomal RNA". It matches the Rfam family "Bacterial small subunit ribosomal RNA", at positions 29 to 507 of the family's 1533-position model. The record is from RNAcentral.